This 88-nucleotide transfer RNA is filed under the name Candidatus Thiopontia autotrophica. RNAcentral's name for it is "tRNA-Ser". It matches the Rfam family "tRNA". From Rfam's summary of the family: Transfer RNA (tRNA) molecules are approximately 80 nucleotides in length. Their secondary structure includes four short double-helical elements and three loops (D, anti-codon, and T loops). Further hydrogen bonds mediate the characteristic L-shaped molecular structure. tRNAs have two regions of fundamental functional importance: the anti-codon, which is responsible for specific mRNA codon recognition, and the 3' end, to which the tRNAs corresponding amino acid is attached (by aminoacyl-tRNA synthetases). tRNAs cope with the degeneracy of the genetic code in two manners: having more than one tRNA (with a specific anti-codon) for a particular amino acid; and 'wobble' base-pairing, i.e. permitting non-standard base-pairing at the 3rd anti-codon position. Lineage: Bacteria; Pseudomonadati; Pseudomonadota; Gammaproteobacteria. The record is from RNAcentral.
GGAGAGAUGUCAGAGUGGCCGAAUGAGCUCGCUUGGAAAGCGUGUGUACGGAAACGUACCGAGGGUUCGAAUCCCUCUCUCUCCGCCA